This 552-nucleotide ribosomal RNA is filed under the name uncultured bacterium. Its description in RNAcentral is "bacterial SSU rRNA". It matches the Rfam family "Bacterial small subunit ribosomal RNA", at positions 361 to 909 of the family's 1533-position model. The record is from RNAcentral.
AUCUUCCGCAAUGGACGAAAGUCUGACGGAGCGACGCCGCGUGCGGGAUGAAGGCCCUUGGGUUGUAAACCGCUGUCAGAGGGGAUGAAAUCUCCGGAGGUUCUCCUCCGGAGUUGACAGAGCCUCAGAGGAAGCACGGGCUAAGUAUGUGCCAGCAGCCGCGGUAAUACAUACUGUGCGAACGUUAUUCGGAAUCACUGGGCUUAAAGGGUGCGUAGGCGGUGGUUCAAGUCAGAUGUGAAAUGCCUGAGCUCAACUGAGGCAUUGCGUUUGAAACUGGAUCGCUUGAGUAUCCCAGGGGUGUGCGGAACUGCCAGUGGAGCGGUGAAAUGUGUUGAUAUUGGCAGGAACACCGGAGGCGAAAGCGGCACACUGGGGGAUAACUGACGCUGAGGCACGAAAGCCAGGGUAGCGAACGGGAUUAGAUACCCCGGUAGUCCUGGCUGUAAACGAUGAGCACUGGGCGGGAGGAAGUUCGCUUCUUCCUGCCGUAGCGAAAGCGUUAAGUGCUCCGCCUGGGGAGUAUGGUCGCAAGGCUGAAACUCAAAGGAA